AUUGAACGCUGGCGGUAGGCCUAACACAUGCAAGUCGAACGGCAGCACAGUAAUAGCUUGCUCUUACGGGUGGCGAGUGGCGGACGGGUGAGGAAUACAUCGGAAUCUACUUUUUCGUGGGGGAUAACGUAGGGAAACUUACGCUAAUACCGCAUACGACCUACGGGUGAAAGCAGGGGAUCUUCGGACCUUGCGCGAUUGAAUGAGCCGAUGUCGGAUUAGCUAGUUGGCGGGGUAAAGGCCCACCAAGGCGACGAUCCGUAGCUGGUCUGAGAGGAUGAUCAGUCACACUGGAACUGAGACACGGUCCAGACUCCUACGGGAGGCAGCAGUGGGGAAUAUUGGACAAUGGGCGAAAGCCUGAUCCAGCCAUACCGCGUGGGUGAAGAAGGCCUUCGGGUUGUAAAGCCCUUUUGUUGGGAAAGAAAAGCAGCAGGUUAAUACCCCGCUGUUCUGACGGUACCCAAAGAAUAAGCACCGGCUAACUUCGUG
RNAcentral lists this ribosomal RNA (492 nucleotides) under uncultured bacterium. RNAcentral describes it as "partial 16S ribosomal RNA". It matches the Rfam family "Bacterial small subunit ribosomal RNA", at positions 30 to 507 of the family's 1533-position model. The record is from RNAcentral.